AUGCACGCCACCAUCACUCUCUUGGAUCUCUUCCAGUCAGUCGCUGGGCUACGGGCCAACUGGGCAAAGAGCGCGGCUACACCAAUAGCAUGCACGGAGGAUCAGAUCGGGGAGGCAGUGGUAGAAACGGAUUGCAAGUCCAAAGCCUUCCCAAUCACAUACCUCGGCCUGCCGCUUUCGGAUACAAGAUUGAGGAGGGAGGACUUGCAGCCGGUUAUAGACAGCCUUGCAAAGAGACUGAGAGGAUGGAAGGUCAAGCUGAUCGCACUCCCGGGCAGGAUCGAAUUGGUCAAAUCGGUGCUAACUGCCAUGGCCAUCUACCGGAUCAUGGCGAUUGCGCCGCCAGUUUGGUUCCUCAAAAUGAUCGAUAGGCUGAGACGAGGCUUCCUUUGGGCGGCAGACGAGUCCUCGCCGGGCGGCAAGUGCCUCGUGAGCUGGAAGCAGGUUUGCAGGUCGCGCGAGUUUGGUGGCCUUGGGGUGCACGAUCUGCAGCGCCAAGGGGCCGCACUCCGCGCUCGCUGGUACUAG
This 528-nucleotide ribosomal RNA is filed under the name Triticum aestivum (bread wheat). Its description in RNAcentral is "partial small subunit ribosomal RNA". The record is from RNAcentral. Lineage: Eukaryota; Viridiplantae; Streptophyta; Magnoliopsida; Poales; Poaceae.